This 1962-nucleotide long non-coding RNA is filed under the name Hordeum vulgare. RNAcentral describes it as "long non-coding RNA (HVUL_LNC005844)". Lineage: Eukaryota; Viridiplantae; Streptophyta; Magnoliopsida; Poales; Poaceae. The record is from RNAcentral.
GUUGCGCUCCUCCCUCUCUCCUAGCUCUCCCUCUUUCUCGACGGGCGAAAGACAUGGGACAGUGAACGAUCUUUCAGAACCUAUACGUACAUGGGGUAACAGGAUGAGAAAUCAACUGAAUAAAAUGAUAUUUCUAAAAUGCUGGGAGAAGAAAGCAAUUUUAUCAUAAUUAAGAAGGGAUAACUACAGAUGACAAAUUCUUGACCUUUAUCUAUGUGUCUUAUUAGAUGGAGUAGCGAGUCGGUGAACGGAUUGUUUACAAACUAAGAGGGAUACAACCUACAUAUUCAAUUGUCCUUUGAAGCGAUUAGCAAUGCAAUUUUACCAGUCGAAUAAUACAGGAUAAGCAAUCUAAGGAACUGAACAUGGAUAAAAUGUAUUAAGUGGACGUGGCGAUCAGUUCUGACUCAUCAUGCAAAGAAUAUUUAUGUUGUAUUCCACUUGACCGUGAUUAACAAGCUGAAAAUUCAUACCUCUCACACUCCAUGUCUAGGAUGAGGUGCUACCGCUAAUUACCCCGGUGAACCAUCACAUUCCCAAAGUCUUUCACAGGUACUGCUUGACCUCACAACACAAAUAAUACAUCAGAAAAGAUGCCAAAUGUGAUGGUCACAGACUCAAAGUUAUUCAAAUCUGGGCAAAGAUGCAUAGAUCAAGUGUAAGCAACUCAAAUUUUGUAAAUCUUCUCAUUAAAGCAGUGCUACUGCCUUCAUCCGAAAAAACAUGCAAGUACACCUGCAGAUCAUGAGGGCAUUGGCUGACGGGUAAUGGGUUGACCUUGACCACCAAAAAUCCCUUGUACUGAUAACAAAACCAUGUUUCCAGCCUUGAAGCGUAAGAAAGAAUAUGUAAGCUCAGUACUUCCAGCGAUCAAUUGUAAGAAUUAAACUAUUGAAGUAAUGUGUUUAUAUAGACUGCCAUUAGCUCAUAGGCCAGGUCUGCUGUUGAUGGAUCACCACUAAGAAUAGGAAGUGUUGAUGAACCAUCCGGCCUUAACAUAUCAAUUAGGAUGGAUGGUUACACUGAGUAGAGGACAAAAUGUGUUGCAUUCAAAUAUAUUAGCAACAACAUAUUUAGACAGUGCUGGUAUCUGGAACACACCAAUGCAGAGAGUAAAGUAAGUUAAUUUUACCUACUAUCACUCGUUCAUGAGAUAUCCUAAAGUCAACACCUGCAAACAGGAAUAAAUGAAAAUCUGGAUUCAAUUUUUAGUCGGUAGCCCUGCAGCUGCAUAAUAAAAAUCCUUGGUUGUUCUAUGUAAGUUUCCAAAUGAAUGGAAGCUUGGACACUAAAAACAUCAAAAGGUGAUCUAACAUAACCUCAUAUCACAUAACGGUACUCUAGCUGAAAGCUGGGAGCAUCCUUUAUGACCUCCAAUAUAUGACUAAAAAGCUGCUUAGCAACUGAAAUCAAAAGUAAGGAGUGCCCUGCAACAAUAGUGAACCGUCUUUAAUGGCAUGCACCUUACACUCCAGCAUAUAUUACAUAAAGAAACAAUUGAAGAAGCACUUGCACACAAGUCUAGUCUAGUCUACUGUAGUAGAUAAAACAAUGAAGCAUAAUGGUAGCAAUAGCAAGUGCUUCAAACCUGCACAAUUCAUCAGCUAGAUGAAAAACAGAGUGCUAAAACCACAAACAGAAGAUGCAACACCCAAUGUUGUAUGGCUAACAGGACAGUGAGUUACUGGUACAUGUCCAACACAAAAUGCAUGAGUAAGAAGGGAUGGCAACAACUAUAGCGCAUUUGACAUGACUCCAGUAGUAAGCUGAUAUGUGUGUAUGGUGAAGAAACAAUAGGCACAAACAAUGUGCGCUUCCUUUCCUUACCAUUUGUUCUUCAGAGCCUGGAUACCAAACUUGAAUGGAAGUAGCAGGAUAGGACGGAGAAGAAGGGCGUUUAUACCUGAGAGCCUGGCGUCCUCUGCGCAGCGGACGACGGCGUGGAGCAUCCCGGCGGCAGCG